RNAcentral lists this ribosomal RNA (468 nucleotides) under uncultured bacterium. RNAcentral's name for it is "partial 16S ribosomal RNA". It matches the Rfam family "Bacterial small subunit ribosomal RNA", at positions 28 to 507 of the family's 1533-position model. The record is from RNAcentral.
GACGAACGCUGGCGGCGUGCUUAACACAUGCAAGUCGAACGGAAAGGCCCUGCUUUUGUGGGGUGCUCGAGUGGCGAACGGGUGAGUAACACGUGAGUAACCUGCCCUUGACUUUGGGAUAACUUCAGGAAACUGGGGCUAAUACCGGAUAGGAGCUCCUGCUGCAUGGUGGGGGUUGGAAAGUUUCGGCGGUUGGGGAUGGACUCGCGGCUUAUCAGCUUGUUGGUGGGGUGGUGGCUUACCAAGGCUUUGACGGGUAGCCGGCCUGAGAGGGUGACCGGCCACAUUGGGACUGAGAUACGGCCCAGACUACUACGGGAGGCAGCAGUGGGGAAUAUUGCACAAUGGGCGGAAGCCUGAUGCAGCAACGCCGCGUGCGGGAUGACGGCCUUCGGGUUGUAAACCGCUUUCGCCUGUGACGAAGCGUGAGUGACGGUAAUGGGUAAAGAAGCACCGGCUAACUACGUG